GGACCCGGAUGCAUGGGUCGGAUCUGCCUCCGGAGCAGAAGGCCGCAGGUUCGAAUCCUGCCGGGGGCACCA
This 72-nucleotide transfer RNA is filed under the name Mycobacterium marinum. Its description in RNAcentral is "tRNA-Arg". It matches the Rfam family "tRNA". Rfam says of the family: Transfer RNA (tRNA) molecules are approximately 80 nucleotides in length. Their secondary structure includes four short double-helical elements and three loops (D, anti-codon, and T loops). Lineage: Bacteria; Bacillati; Actinomycetota; Actinomycetes; Mycobacteriales; Mycobacteriaceae. The record is from RNAcentral.